CCUACGGGUGGCAGCAGUGAGGAAUAUUGGUCAAUGGACGCAAGUCUGAACCAGCCAUGCCGCGUGCAGGAAGACGGCUCUGUGUGUUGUAAACCGCUUUUGUAAGGGGGCAAACGCUGAGACGCGUAUCCGGCUGAGAGUACCGUACGAACAAGCAUCGGCUAACUCCGUGCCAGCAGCCGCGGUAAUACGGAGGAUGCAAGCGUUAUCCGGAUUUAUUGGGUUUAAAGGGUGCGUAGGCGGUCGGGUAAGUUAGAGGUGAAAUCCCGAGGCUCAACUUCGGAAUUGCCUUUGAUACUGGUAGGCUCGAGAGUAGUUGCGGUAGGCGGAAUGUAUGGUGUAGCGGUGAAAUGCUUAGAGAUCAUACAGAACUCCGAUUGCGAAGGCAGCAUGCCGGCGCCCGACUGACGCUGAGGCACGAAAGCGUGGGGAUCGAACAGGAUUAGAUACCCUUGUAGUC
RNAcentral lists this ribosomal RNA (460 nucleotides) under uncultured bacterium. RNAcentral's name for it is "partial 16S ribosomal RNA". It matches the Rfam family "Bacterial small subunit ribosomal RNA", at positions 338 to 795 of the family's 1533-position model. The record is from RNAcentral.